RNAcentral lists this ribosomal RNA (495 nucleotides) under uncultured bacterium. RNAcentral describes it as "partial 16S ribosomal RNA". It matches the Rfam family "Bacterial small subunit ribosomal RNA", at positions 28 to 507 of the family's 1533-position model. The record is from RNAcentral.
GACGAACGCUGGCGGCGUGCCUAAUACAUGCAAGUAGAACGCUGAAGGAGGAGCUUGCUUCUCUGGAUGAGUUGCGAACGGGUGAGUAACGCGUAGGUAACCUGCCUGGUAGCGGGGGAUAACUAUUGGAAACGAUAGCUAAUACCGCAUAAGAGUAGAUGUUGCAUGACAUUUGCUUAAAAGGUGCAAUUGCAUCACUACCAGAUGGACCUGCGUUGUAUUAGCUAGUUGGUGGGGUAACGGCUCACCAAGGCGACGAUACUUAGCCGACCUGAGAGGGUGAUCGGCCACACUGGGACUGAGACACGGCCCAGACUCCUACGGGAGGCAGCAGUAGGGAAUCUUCGGCAAUGGACGGAAGUCUGACCGAGCAACGCCGCGUGAGUGAAGAAGGUUGUCGGAUCGUAAAGCUCUGUUGUAAGAGAAGAACGAGUGUGAGAGUGGAAAGUUCACACUGUGACGGUAUCUUACCAGAAAGGGACGGCUAACUACGUG